CUUGCAAUUAUUAUAAAAUCAUUUUAAAACCCUGUGUUACUUAGGUUAAUAUGGAAUAUGUUGUGGUAGAAUAUGAGUUUCUUAUUCUUGAUAUCAUUGCUACUUGGAGAAUUUAUUUCAAAAUAUUCAAAAUUCUAGCUACCAUCCUCAUUGUUUUAUAUGCCUGAUAAAACUAAAAAUAUUAAUUAUGUUUAUAAAAGCUAUCUACUCUGUAUUGAGUUUGUUCAAAAUGAGUUAGACCCUUGUUGAGAGAUUUAUCAUGCUCCUAAGAUCAAGACAUUUAUUCAGAAAGAUUCACUCUUCCGAAGUAUUAUUGCAUUAGAGGCAUGGGCUAUGCAAAAAUAGAGAUAUUUCAAGGAAAUAAAAAGGAGCAAGUGCACGACAACCUCGCAGAAAAAAUGGACAAGUGUCCAACAGUAGAAUUAGGGAUACCUCGGUAUCCACUUAAAAAAAGAAGGAAAAAAAUGAUAGCCCAUUGUCCCUCUAAUAAGCAAUAUGCCAGCAAGAGUUGACAAAGAUUUUAAUUUCCAAAGUCUUUGAUCUAAGAGUAUGACAUUCCCCACCUCGGAUCCCGUUUUGAUCAGGCAAUAAAUGCAAAGUAAGUAUGCUUGAGAAUUUUUGCAAAUUAAAACAGCCUCAGUGAGAUAUAUAAAAAAAUAAUGAG
Molecule: long non-coding RNA, 664 nt
Filed under: Sorghum bicolor (sorghum)
Lineage: Eukaryota; Viridiplantae; Streptophyta; Magnoliopsida; Poales; Poaceae
Description: long non-coding RNA (SBIC_LNC004527)
Source: RNAcentral